Non-coding RNA from Arachis ipaensis, 693 nucleotides. NCBI's taxonomy places the organism in Eukaryota, Viridiplantae, Streptophyta, Magnoliopsida, Fabales, Fabaceae. The record is from RefSeq and is a predicted model, not a curated record.
AUGAUUCGUGGGGAUCUCAAUUAUUCAUCACAAUCACGUAAUGAAUUUAUUUAAGUCGAUACACGAGUUCUUCAAGUUUGUUUUACAUAUGAACCUUAAAAUCGCAAUGCUACAGCAAUGACUGCGGAAUGUAUGUGGUUCAGUGGAUGAUAUUGUACCACCUUUGGAGCUCAUACGACGUUGUGAAGGUGAGGUACUAUAGCAAGAUGAGGCUUGGCAUCGACAUGGUUCUUAAGUACCACAACGAGAACCGCAUGCCAGUCAUAGAAUUGGCGAUAGAGUAUUGGAGGACUUUCACAAGGGAUCCUCUGAUUACAAAAUGAACCCACAGUUGUCGAUUUAACUCUUUUUGGAGCAGCUAUAAUAAUACAAGGCUGAAAAAAUGGAUCCGUUUUGGUAGUACUUACUUUUGAAGUCCACCCCCUGCAACUGUGAUGGAUGACCCCUCACACAAAGACAUGAAGAUAUACGGUACAAAAUCUUUUGCCGAGGUGUAGAUCCCAUGCACAUAAAGGUUGACCAUUGAGGUCACUAAUAACAGGUAGCAUUGUUGAAAGAUUUAAGAAUGCAGUUGCAUUGCUAGGAAAUGGAGCAGCGUCCCCCACAUUUCCAGCAAUGUUGGGUGCAUAAUUCAUUAUCCUACUCUCCUCCCUACAAUUCGCUCUCCUAGUGGAAAAGACGACAAAGCCAUGU